Molecule: long non-coding RNA, 2362 nt
Organism: Asparagus officinalis (garden asparagus)
Lineage: Eukaryota; Viridiplantae; Streptophyta; Magnoliopsida; Asparagales; Asparagaceae
Exons: 3
Source: RefSeq, a predicted model, not a curated record
UCAUGCUUGCAGCCGUAUCCACAUGACUGAUUAGAAGGGCUUAUCUGAGCCUCCUUUUUGUUCAGUUUCUUGCAUGAGUUGUUGCUGAUGGAGAGAUGCCAAACACAAAUAUUUAUUCUUUUGUACAUUUUUUCAUAUGGUGCCCAUGUGUAAUAAAUCAAUACUUCUAUGCAGAUAAGAUGAAACAUUAUGGUUUUGCUAUAAAUCAAUAAUUAUGGUUUUCCCAAUAAAAAUGAUUCCUGGAGCAUGAUUUCGUAUGAGAUUUUUUCUGUUGUGUAUUGUUAACUAAGUUGCAUGGAAACGGGUACUGGUACAGGUGCGGGUACGGGACACGACAAAACUGUAAAAUGUAGGGUACGGGGGCACGACUACAUAUAUAUAUUGAAUUAAUACUAUACAUAAGAUAAAAAAUUUCCCCUUCAUGUGUCAUUAGAAUUAAAAUUCCGAUCACAUUUUUGAGUUUCUUUUAUCAUAUUGAUUAUCGUGAAUUGUAAGCUACUCAUUUUUUUUACUAGACAUCUAAACGACCCAUUAACUAUAUAGUUUUAAACUUGGGUAUGGACUGAAACGAAUCCGACCCGUAUCUCAUUAGUUUCAAAAGACGGAUGUGAAGCGUAAGCUCUACGUCCAGGAAGUCUUUGACAAGCAUUUUAAAUUAACACAUAUAACGUAUAAUUGAGUACAUGUUGUAAUAAGUGCAUGCAUAUAUUAAAGAAGUGUCCAUGAAGUUUGGGUACGGGAAAGUGUCGGGUACGUGUCCGGUACGGAUACGGCUUCAUUAUAGAAGUACCCAAGUAACAUAGAUUGUUAACUAUGGUUUUCCCAAUUGAAAAUGAUUGUUGGAACAUGACUGGUUCAUAGGAAAUUAUAUUUCUUUGUUGUGUAUUUGUUCCUUUGACCCAUGUUAUUUGCAGCUUACACUUGGGGGGCAGUCCUGGAUUGCCUGCUACAUCGCAGGUAUCAAACUUCUCAUUGAUAUGAAGGAUGGGAAAUCCUAAGGCUCAUUUAACAAUUGUGAUGGUGUUAGGGGGUAAUUCUAAAAUUGCCAAUGAUUUGGAGGGCAUGACGUCGAAAGAAACCUUUAGCUUUCAGACCUAGCCUGGACAAACUUAAAAGCUGAAGAAAACCUGUGAGGAGGUGGUUUCGCGGGCAGAAGUGAAAAAAGCUUUGUUAAUUCUCUUCUCUUGCAAGUCUUCUCCUAGGCCUUUUCUCUUGUUGCCUUCAAUGCAUGAGCAAAGGAUAAAAUCAUACAGAGGGUUCUCAACAGAAAAUCAUAUAAGCAGGGAGGCAUUAUUUCUCUUCAUCCAUCUCAGGGACAAUGAUGAAAUGCCCUUUGGCAAGAUUUAGGAGUCUUGUGUUAUCUUUUACUUGAAGAGUUUGGAUUAUCUCUACUUCUCAAACCAAAACCCUAUCUGCUUUUGGUAUUAUUUUCUUGGGUUAAUUGCGGGUAGACCCCCAUAUUAUUGCUGUUUUGAACUUGCUAUCUUUUUUUAGACAAUCUGCACCUUUUCCCCCAAUGGCGUGGCAGUUUUGUAGCCAUUUUGGUAUUUUCUGCAGAUAGAAAGUGGUUUGGCCCCUUUCUUUCUCUCUGAUUGAUGGGCUGACCUGAGUCUCUGAGAUCUUGGUUGAAUAGACGUCUGCAUUGAUGACUCAUUCAGGAACAAACCCUUAUUAUUGUUGUUGUUGUUGCUGCUGCUGCUGCUGUUGCUGCUGUUGCUGCUGUUCUAUGAUGAUAAUGCUCAUUUCACAUAUACAUAUAGGCGAUGAUGAUUUGCCCAAAGAAAAUGAUUAUUGAACCAUGACAACAUUCAUUCAGCAUUCUUGAAGCCAAACCCCAAAAUUAUCACAGGGCAAGUGACUGUUUCAACCAUUGAGUAAGCGUGCACAGUGUUGCUUAACAAAAAGGAUGUGGUGAGAUGAUCUAUGAGCCUUGGAUUGAGGAAAUUUUGCUGUUAUUCCUCUUCCCCAUUUUAUUCUCUAGUUUGAGACGAAGAGGUUUAAUGAAUUUAACCAGUGAGACUCUAAAGAAGAAGCUGUCAGCAAAUUAUUUGGCGAUGACAGUUCUCUGGCGUCUGAAUGCUAUCCGGGGAGUAAAAACACGUUGAUUUUUCGCUGCUUGGUGUCUUGCUUGUACGGUGACUCUUACAACACUACGAUAAUAUUUUUGAGAAAAUUGCAAUGGCUAUAGAUCAAGUAUGGGUUAAAAGUAGUGUAUUAUUUGUGAGGAUCGGAUCGCUCCUUGGUCCUCGAUGAAAAAUAUGAUCCUGGCCUUUCUCAGUAUAUCCCGACUUUCAGUUGAUGUAACCAUUCUUUCAAGUCAAUGUAAACGAAGAUUGUCAUAUGUUGCUGUAUUGUUCACUUC